AAACUUAGGUUCAAAAUUAAACCAAGGGCCUUCAAAGCCCUAAACAAGGGUUAACCCCUUAGUCUCUGACU
Molecule: transfer RNA, 71 nt
Filed under: Draco beccarii
Lineage: Eukaryota; Metazoa; Chordata; Lepidosauria; Squamata; Agamidae
Description: tRNA-Trp
Rfam family: tRNA
About the family: Transfer RNA (tRNA) molecules are approximately 80 nucleotides in length. Their secondary structure includes four short double-helical elements and three loops (D, anti-codon, and T loops). Further hydrogen bonds mediate the characteristic L-shaped molecular structure. tRNAs have two regions of fundamental functional importance: the anti-codon, which is responsible for specific mRNA codon recognition, and the 3' end, to which the tRNAs corresponding amino acid is attached (by aminoacyl-tRNA synthetases). tRNAs cope with the degeneracy of the genetic code in two manners: having more than one tRNA (with a specific anti-codon) for a particular amino acid; and 'wobble' base-pairing, i.e. permitting non-standard base-pairing at the 3rd anti-codon position.
Source: RNAcentral